Molecule: ribosomal RNA, 504 nt
Filed under: uncultured bacterium
Lineage: Bacteria
Description: partial 16S ribosomal RNA
Rfam family: Bacterial small subunit ribosomal RNA
Source: RNAcentral
AUUGAACGCUGGCGGCAUGCCUUACACAUGCAAGUCGAACGGCAGCAUGGAGAGCUUGCUCUCUGAUGGCGAGUGGCGAACGGGUGAGUAAUGCAUCGGAACGUACCGCGUAAUGGGGGAUAACGUAGCGAAAGUUACGCUAAUACCGCAUACGACCUGAGGGUGAAAGCAGGGGAACGCAAGACCUUGCGUUAUACGAGCGGCCGAUGUCAGAUUAGCUAGUUGGUGAGGUAAAGGCUCACCAAGGCGACGAUCUGUAGCGGGUCUGAGAGGAUGAUCCGCCACACUGGGACUGAGACACGGCCCAGACUCCUACGGGAGGCAGCAGUGGGGAAUCUUGGACAAUGGGGGCAACCCUGAUCCAGCCAUGCCGCGUGAGUGAAGAAGGCCUUCGGGUUGUAAAGCUCUUUCGGCCGGGAAGAAAUCGCACAGGCUAAUACUCUGUGUGGAUGACGGUACCGGCAUAAGAAGCACCGGCUAACUACGUGCCAGCCGCCGCCGUAA